This 253-nucleotide ribosomal RNA is filed under the name uncultured bacterium. RNAcentral's name for it is "partial 16S ribosomal RNA". It matches the Rfam family "Bacterial small subunit ribosomal RNA", at positions 524 to 776 of the family's 1533-position model. The record is from RNAcentral.
UACGAAGGUGGCAAGCGUUGUUCGGAUUUACUGGGCGUAAAGGGAGCGUAGGUGGUUAGGUAAGCCCUCCGGGAAAUCUUCAGGCUUAACCUGAAAAGGUCGGGGGGGACUGCCUGGCUAGAGGACGGGAGAGGAGCGCGGAAUUCCCGGUGUAGCGGUGAAAUGCGUAGAGAUCGGGAGGAAGGCCGGUGGCGAAGGCGGCGCUCUGGACCGGUUCUGACGCUGAGGCGCGAAAGCGUGGGGAGCAAACGGG